GUAGGUGGAAUCUGUCUGCAUCCUAAUCCCUGAAGCCUAUGAACAUGCUACUCCGUAGGGGAAAGGGGACUCGGUAGUGUGAUUUAGAUCUUGAGAUGGUGUGAUUACCUGAUUAUCCAGGUGGGCCCAGUGACUUCACAGAAGUCCUUAUGAGGGGGAGACAAAAAGGCCAGAGUCAGACAAAGGGGAUGUAAUUACAGGAGAAGAAGUUGGAAUGGUAUGUUUUAAAGAUGUAGGCAUGCACAUGGCUUCCAGAAGCUGAAAAGGGCAGUAAAAUAGUCUUGCCUCUAAGAGUCUCCAGAAAGGAACAUGGACCUGCCAACAUGUUGAUUUUAGCUUGAGGAGGAGCCACAGCCCUUGCUGGUCAUGCAGGCUUCCCUCAGGCCUGCAGUGACCCAGACAGCACACCCUGAAGACCUCAGCCAAAGGUCAUUCCAUCCCUUGCCAUGGUGGUCCUGGGGCUCUCAGGUUUAUCUUCUCAGCUCACCUUCUCCAUCUCCUCUGAGGCCUGUGGGAAAUUCUGGAGUCCCCAGGCCUCUGGAGAGCCAGAGAGGCCAUGAAAGGAGAAGCUGGCCCAGGCCUUCUUUCUGAGACCCAUCACACCAAGGUUUUCUAGGCAGCCGGGAGAUGAGCAGUUUCCUGUGCCGCACACUGCCCAUCAUGACGCACUGCCACACCAUGGGCCCAAAGGAAACAGGGCCAAGUCAAC
This 709-nucleotide long non-coding RNA is filed under the name Heterocephalus glaber (naked mole-rat). Its description in RNAcentral is "lncRNA (ENSHGLG00000044567.1)". The record is from RNAcentral. Lineage: Eukaryota; Metazoa; Chordata; Mammalia; Rodentia; Bathyergidae.